CCUACGGGAGGCAGCAGUGGGGAAUAUUGGGCAAUGGGCGCAAGCCUGACCCAGCAAUGCCGCGUGUAGGAAGAAGGCCUUCGGGUUGUAAACUACUUUUAUCAAGGACGAAAGAAAUGACGGUACUAGAUGAAUAAGCUAAGGCUAACUACGUGCCAGCAACCGCGGUAAUACGUAGGUGGCACGCGUUAUCCGGAUUUACUGGGUGUAAAGGGCGUGUAGGCGGGACGUCAAGUCAGAUGUGAAAACCAUGGGCUCAACCCAGGGCCUGCAUUUGAAACUGGAGUGCUUGAGUGUUGAAGAGGCGGGCAGAAUUCCAGGUGUAGCGGUGAAAUGCGUAGAGAUACGGAGGAACACCAGUGGCGAAGGCGGCCUGCUGGACAAAGACUGACGCUGAGGCGCGAAAGCGUGGGGAGCAAACAGGAUUAGAUACCCCGGUAGUC
Molecule: ribosomal RNA, 443 nt
Filed under: uncultured bacterium
Lineage: Bacteria
Description: partial 16S ribosomal RNA
Rfam family: Bacterial small subunit ribosomal RNA
Source: RNAcentral